This 373-nucleotide ribosomal RNA is filed under the name uncultured organism. RNAcentral describes it as "bacterial SSU rRNA". It matches the Rfam family "Bacterial small subunit ribosomal RNA", at positions 526 to 896 of the family's 1533-position model. The record is from RNAcentral.
CGUAGGGCGCGAGCGUUGUCCGGAUUUAUUGGGCGUAAAGAGCUCGUAGGCGGCUUGUCACGUCGACCGUGAAAACUUGGGGCUCAACCCCAAGCCUGCGGUCGAUACGGGCAGGCUAGAGUUCGGUAGGGGAGACUGGAAUUCCUGGUGUAGCGGUGAAAUGCGCAGAUAUCAGGAGGAACACCGGUGGCGAAGGCGGGUCUCUGGGCCGAUACUGACGCUGAGGAGCGAAAGCGUGGGGAGCGAACAGGAUUAGAUACCCUGGUAGUCCACGCUGUAAACGUUGGGCGCUAGGUGUGGGGGGCCUCUCCGGUUCCCUGUGCCGCAGCUAACGCAUUAAGCGCCCCGCCUGGGGAGUACGGCCGCAAGGCUA